NNNNNNNNNNNNNNNNCAUGCAAGUCGAACGGAAAGGCCCCUUCGGGGGUACUCGAGUGGCGAACGGGUGAGUAACACGUGGGCAAUCUGCCCUGCACUUCGGGAUAAGCCUGGGAAACUGGGUCUAAUACCGGAUAGGACCACUUGGCGCAUGCCUUGUGGUGGAAAGCUUUUGCGGUGUGGGAUGGGCCCGCGGCCUAUCAGCUUGUUGGUGGGGUGAUGGCCUACCAAGGCGACGACGGGUAGCCGGCCUGAGAGGGUGUCCGGCCACACUGGGACUGAGAUACGGCCCAGACUCCUACGGGAGGCAGCAGUGGGGAAUAUUGCACAAUGGGCGCAAGCCUGAUGCAGCGACGCCGCGUGGGGGAUGACGGCCUUCGGGUUGUAAACCUCUUUCAGCAGGGACGAAGCGAAAGUGACGGUACCUGCAGAAGAAGCACCGGCCAACUACGUGCCAGCAGCCGCGGUAAUACGUAGGGUGCGAGCGUUGUCCGGAAUUACUGGGCGUAAAGAGCUCGUAGGUGGUUUGUCGCGUUGUUCGUGAAAACCGGGGGCUUAACCCUCGGCGUGCGGGCGAUACGGGCAGACUAGAGUACUGCAGGGGAGACUGGAAUUCCUGGUGUAGCGGUGGAAUGCGCAGAUAUCAGGAGGAACACCGGUGGCGAAGGCGGGUCUCUGGGCAGUAACUGACGCUGAGGAGCGAAAGCGUGGGGAGCGAACAGGAUUAGAUACCCUGGUAGUCCACGCCGUAAACGGUGGGUACUAGGUGUGGGUUUCCUUCCUUGGGAUCCGUGCCGUAGCUAACGCAUUAAGUACCCCGCCUGGGGAGUACGGCCGCAAGGCUAAAACUCAAAGGAAUUGACGGGGGCNNGCACAAGCGGCGGAGCAUGUGGAUUAAUUCGAUGCAACGCGAAGAACCUUACCUGGGUUUGACAUGCACAGGACGCGUCUAGAGAUAGGCGUUCCCUUGUGGCCUGUGUGCAGGUGGUGCAUGGCUGUCGUCAGCUCGUGUCGUGAGAUGUUGGGUUAAGUCCCGCAACGAGCGCAACCCUUGUCUCAUGUUGCCAGCGGGUAAUGCCGGGGACUCGUGAGAGACUGCCGGGGUCAACUCGGAGGAAGGUGGGGAUGACGUCAAGUCAUCAUGCCCCUUAUGUCCAGGGCUUCACACAUGCUACAAUGGCCGGUACAAAGGGCUGCGAUGCCGCAAGGUUAAGCGAAUCCUUUUAAAGCCGGUCUCAGUUCGGAUCGGGGUCUGCAACUCGACCCCGUGAAGUCGGAGUCGCUAGUAAUCGCAGAUCAGCAACGCUGCGGUGAAUACGUUCCCGGGCCUUGUACACACCGCCCGUCACGUCAUGAAAGUCGGUAACACCCGAAGCCAGUGGCCUAACCCUUGGGAGGGAGCUGUCG
This 1407-nucleotide ribosomal RNA is filed under the name Mycobacterium sp. RNAcentral describes it as "bacterial SSU rRNA". It matches the Rfam family "Bacterial small subunit ribosomal RNA". Lineage: Bacteria; Bacillati; Actinomycetota; Actinomycetes; Mycobacteriales; Mycobacteriaceae. The record is from RNAcentral.